AACGAACGCUGGCGGCAUGCCUAACACAUGCCAGUCGAACGAGACCUUCGGGUCCAGUGGCGCACGGGUGCGUAACGCGUGGGAACCUGCCCUUAGGUUCGGAAUAACUCCCCGAAAGGGGUGCUAAUACCGGAUAAUGUCUUCGGACCAAAGAUUUAUCGCCUUUGGAUGGGCCCGCGUUGGAUUAGCUAGUUGGUAGGGUAAAAGCCUACCAAGGCGACGAUCCAUAGCUGGUCUGAGAGGAUGAUCAGCCACACUGGGACUGAGACACGGCCCAGACUCCUACGGGAGGCAGCAGUGGGGAAUAUUGGACAAUGGGCGAAAGCCUGAUCCAGCAAUGCCGGGGGAGUGAUGAAGGCCUUAGGGUUGUAAAGCUCUUUUACCCGGGAUGAUAAUGACAGUACCGGGAGAAUAAGCUCCGGCUAACUCCGUG
RNAcentral lists this ribosomal RNA (433 nucleotides) under uncultured bacterium. Its description in RNAcentral is "partial 16S ribosomal RNA". It matches the Rfam family "Bacterial small subunit ribosomal RNA", at positions 29 to 507 of the family's 1533-position model. The record is from RNAcentral.